AGUCCUAGGUGACCCUUGUGAAAGGGUUAUUCAACCAGCUAAGAGGUUGGGACCCACAAGUUGAGAACCGAUGCUCUAAGCCUUCGUGAUAGAACUUUCAAGUUCAAGAAAACCUGUCAGCUUCAUGAUAUCCUAAACUCUGCAAGGCUACCCUCAACUUGAAGAUCAUUAUAGUCAAGUUAGAGAACAGACACGCACUCGGAAGACUGCAUCUCAGUAACAACCACAGGUGGACCAGGGGUGUGGAUGUGAGCGCUCGAGCUUAUGGAAUCUUCAUGCCUUCGUCUGUAAAAUGGAUUGAUAACAUCUUCUUCUCUGGGUGGCAUCUUGCAUUGAUUACAUGAGAUUAUGUAUGGAAAGGACCUGGCUUAUAGCCUGGGAAUGGUGUGUGCUUAAUACACGAUAAUUACACUAAUAGUUGACGUGCAUUGUCUACUCUGUCUGUGUCGGGCAUUGAGAAGUGCCUUCUGUAUUAACUUGUUCCUGGUAAAUGGUUAUCACGUUC
RNAcentral lists this long non-coding RNA (505 nucleotides) under Rattus norvegicus (Norway rat). RNAcentral describes it as "long non-coding RNA NONRATT027601". The record is from RNAcentral. Lineage: Eukaryota; Metazoa; Chordata; Mammalia; Rodentia; Muridae.